RNAcentral lists this ribosomal RNA (253 nucleotides) under uncultured bacterium. RNAcentral describes it as "partial 16S ribosomal RNA". It matches the Rfam family "Bacterial small subunit ribosomal RNA", at positions 524 to 776 of the family's 1533-position model. The record is from RNAcentral.
UACAGAGGUCCCAAGCGUUGUUCGGAUUCAUUGGGCGUAAAGGGUGCGUAGGUGGCGCUGUAAGUCGGGUGUGAAAUUUCGGAGCUUAACUCCGAAACUGCAUUCGAUACUGCGGUGCUUGAGGACUGGAGAGGAGACUGGAAUUCAUGGUGUAGCAGUGAAAUGCGUAGAUAUCGUAAGGAAGACCAGUGGCGAAGGCGGGUCUCUGGACAGUUCCUGACGCUGAGGCACGAAGGUCAGGGGAGCAAACGGG